This 269-nucleotide small RNA is filed under the name Nannospalax galili (Upper Galilee mountains blind mole rat). Its description in RNAcentral is "7SK RNA (ENSNGAG00000002357.1)". The stretch from base 1 to 184 matches the Rfam family "7SK RNA". Rfam says of the family: 7SK was discovered as an abundant small nuclear RNA in the mid-70s but a possible function has only recently been suggested. Two independent studies have found that 7SK RNA binds the CDK9/cyclin T complex (known as elongation factor P-TEFb). The record is from Rfam by way of RNAcentral. Lineage: Eukaryota; Metazoa; Chordata; Mammalia; Rodentia; Spalacidae.
GGAUGUGAGGGUGGUCUGGCUGUGACAUCUGUCACCCCAUUGAUCGCCAGGGUUGAUUCAGCUGAUCUUGCUGGCUAGGUGGGUUAUCCCCUUCCUCCCUCAACACUCCACGUGUCCCUCCCAAAGCUGCACAAGAGGUCCACCUUCCCUGAUAGAGGAGGACCGGUCUUUGUUCAAGGGUUGUGGCCUGAAUUCUCUCUGGGUCUCCUGCAUGAUUAGACAAACCAUAUAAUAUUCUUUUAUGUGUAUUUAUUAACUUACAGAGGAAG